CCUACGGGAGGCAGCAGUGAGGAAUAUUGGUCAAUGGACGAGAGUCUGAACCAGCCAAGUAGCGUGAAGGAUGACUGCCCUAUGGGUUGUAAACUUCUUUUAUAUGGGAAUAAAAUGUUCCACGUGUGGGAUUUUGUAUGUACCAUAUGAAUAAGGAUCGGCUAACUCCGUGCCAGCAGCCGCGGUAAUACGGAGGAUCCGUGCGUUAUCCGGAUUUAUUGGGUUUAAAGGGAGCGUAGGUGGUUUGUUAAGUCAGUUGUGAAAGUUUGCGGCUCAACCGUAAAAUUGCAGUUGAAACUGGCAGUCUUGAGUACAGUAGAGGUGGGCGGAAUUCGUGGUGUAGCGGUGAAAUGCUUAGAUAUCACGAAGAACUCCGAUUGCGAAGGCAGUUCACUGGACUGCAACUGACACUGAGGCUCGAAAGUGUGGGUAUCAAACAGGAUUAGAUACCCUUGUAGUC
Molecule: ribosomal RNA, 460 nt
Filed under: uncultured bacterium
Lineage: Bacteria
Description: partial 16S ribosomal RNA
Rfam family: Bacterial small subunit ribosomal RNA
Source: RNAcentral